AACCAUAGAAACCUGCGGAGUACCUGCGGAGGGAUCAUUAUAGUAUAUGGAAUCUCCAUUCUAUAAACCCACUCUGCGUAUCUUGUAACUGUUGCUUCCAUGGGACUUGGUUCCGCCACACCGGCUUCACGGCUGGUGGGCGCCCAUGGAAGGAGAAACAAAACUCUUCUUUGAAAUGUAGUCAGUCUGAACAAGUUUUUAUAAACGUUAAAACUUUUAACAAUGGAUCUCAGAUCGGAA
This 240-nucleotide unclassified non-coding RNA is filed under the name soil metagenome. Its description in RNAcentral is "partial contains 5.8S ribosomal RNA, internal transcribed spacer 2, and large subunit ribosomal RNA". The record is from RNAcentral.